Non-coding RNA from Pelobates cultripes (western spadefoot toad), 398 nucleotides. The record is from the annotation of a GenBank genome assembly. NCBI's taxonomy places the organism in Eukaryota, Metazoa, Chordata, Amphibia, Anura, Pelobatidae.
GUUGAGGGUUAAGUGUCACUUUAAUAUUGACACCUAUUACUAUCAUGAAAUUGCAGAGUUUAUUUCCCUUGUUAGAACAAUCUAGUACACCAAGCAUGUCAAACUCGAGGCCCCCGGGCCGCACGCGGCCCACAGUGAGUAUCUUUGCGGCCCAGCAAGCCUUGAGUUUGAGACAUGAUAACUAAGGCAAAGUAGGCACCUGCUCUCCUUACAUUGCAGGUGCCUACUCUGCUAAAAAUGUACCCGGCCGGGAAGGAGAGUUUGCUGGCGGCAGCAAGGGAGCUCAGUCUUCCUGCUCCUCACUGCUCCCUCGCACGCGCCCUCUGUAGUGAUGACGGGCGCCGGAAUAUGACGUCAUAUUCCAGCACCCAGCAUCACUAAACUGCGAGUGUGAGGGA